This is a long non-coding RNA of Pollicipes pollicipes, 321 nucleotides long. RefSeq lists it as uncharacterized. The record is from RefSeq and is a predicted model, not a curated record. The transcript is spliced from 3 exons. Lineage: Eukaryota; Metazoa; Arthropoda; Thecostraca; Pollicipedomorpha; Pollicipedidae.
GGUGAACCCACGUCAAAGAAAGCAAAGAUGGCCAGCGUGUUGGACCAGCUGAAGGAGGCAUACGGUGGUCGUCGCCGAUACUGGCGACUUCGAAGCAAUGAAAAAGUAUAAACCGACGGACGCGACAACGAACCCGUCGCUGAUCCUGGCGGCCGCGUCCAUGCCGCAGUACCAAAACCUCAUCGAGAAGGCGGUGGAGUACGGCAAGGACGCCGGACAGACGGAUGCGGAGCGGGUGUCGGCCACUAUGGACCGCGUGUUCGUGCUGUUCGGGAAGGAGAUCCUCAAGAUUGUGCCUGGCCGCGUCUCCAUCGAGGUCGA